CGGAACGGGUGAGUAAUGCGUGACCAACCUGCCCCAUGCUCCAGAAUAGCUCUUGGAAACGGGUGGUAAUGCUGGAUGCUCCAACUUGACGCAUGUCUUGUUGGAAAGUGUUUAGUGGCAUGGGAUGGGGUCGCGUCCUAUCAGCUUGUAGGCGGGGUAAUGGCCCACCUAGGCUUCGACGGGUAGCCGGCCUGAGAGGGCGGACGGCCACAUUGGGACUGAGAUACGGCCCAGACUCCUACGGGAGGCAGCAGGC
RNAcentral lists this ribosomal RNA (256 nucleotides) under uncultured Gardnerella sp. RNAcentral's name for it is "partial 16S ribosomal RNA". It matches the Rfam family "Bacterial small subunit ribosomal RNA", at positions 98 to 354 of the family's 1533-position model. The record is from RNAcentral. Lineage: Bacteria; Bacillati; Actinomycetota; Actinomycetes; Bifidobacteriales; Bifidobacteriaceae.